RNAcentral lists this ribosomal RNA (924 nucleotides) under uncultured bacterium. RNAcentral describes it as "bacterial SSU rRNA". It matches the Rfam family "Bacterial small subunit ribosomal RNA", at positions 1 to 916 of the family's 1533-position model. The record is from RNAcentral. RNAcentral also lists the same sequence under 1 other name.
GGAUCCAGACUUUGAUCCUGGCUCAGGAUGAACGCUAGCUACAGGCUUAACACAUGCAAGUCGAGGGGCAGCGAUGAAGAAAGCUUGCUUUCUUCAGGCGGCGACCGGCGCACGGGUGAGUAACGCGUAUCGAACCUGCCUCAUACUCAGGAAUAGCCUUGCGAAAGUAAGAUUAAUGCCCGAUGUUAUUAGGAUAUCACAUGAUGUUUUAAUUAAAGAUUUAUCGGUAUGAGAUGGCGAUGCGUCCCAUUAGCUUGUUGGCGGGGUAACGGCCCACCAAGGCAUCGAUGGGUAGGGGUUCUGAGAGGAAGGUCCCCCACAUUGGAACUGAGACACGGUCCAAACUCCUACGGGAGGCAGCAGUGAGGAAUAUUGGUCAAUGGACGCAAGUCUGAACCAGCCAAGUAGCGUGCAGGAAGACGGCCCUCUGGGUUGUAAACUGCUUUUAGUUGGGAAUAAAGUGCACCACGUGUGGUGUUUUGUAUGUACCAUCAGAAAAAGGACCGGCUAAUUCCGUGCCAGCAGCCGCGGUAAUACGGAAGGUCCAGGCGUUAUCCGGAUUUAUUGGGUUUAAAGGGAGCGCAGGCGGACCUUUAAGUCAGCUGUGAAAUACGGCGGCUCAACCGUCGAACUGCAGUUGAUACCGGAGGUCUUGAGUGCACACAGGGAUACUGGAAUUCAUGGUGUAGCGGUGAAAUGCUCAGAUAUCAUGAAGAACUCCGAUCGCGAAGGCAGGUAUCCGGGGUGCAACUGACGCUGAGGCUCGAAAGUGCGGGUAUCAAACAGGAUUAGAUACCCUGGUAGUCCGCACAGUAAACGAUGAAUACUCGCGAUUUGCGAUACACAGUAAGUCGCCAAGCGAAAGCGUUAAGUAUUCCACCUGGGGAGUACGCCGGCAACGGUGCAACUCAAAGGAAUUGACGG